UCAAGCGAACAAGGGCGCAGGGCGAAUGCCUUGGCACUGGGAGCCGAUGAAAGACGUGAUAAGCUGCGAUAAGCUUCGGGGAGCUGCAAAUAAGCAUUGAUCCGGAGAUCUCUGAAUGAGGAAACUCACCUGGGUUCAUACUCGGGUACAAUACACUGAAAUUUAAAAUAGGUGUAUUGAGGGAACCGCCUGAACUGAAACAUCUAAGUAGGGCGAGGAAGAGACAUCAAACGAGAUUCCGUAAGUAGUGGCGAGCGAACGCGGAAGAGGGCAAACCGAGAGUAGAAAUACUUUCGGGGUACGGACUGCUUUUAAGACUCAAUCUGUUAACCGAACGGCAUGGGAAGGCCGGUCAGAGAGUGUGAGAACCACGUAGGUGAAAACGGAGAGAGCUGCGCAGGAUCCAGAGUACGGCCAGACACGUGAAACCUGGUCGGAAUACGGGGGGACCACCCUCCAACCCUAAAUACUACCCAGUGACCGAUAGCGUAUAGUACUGUGAAGGAAAGGUGAAAAGCACCCCGGGAGGGGAGUGAAAAAGAACCUGAAACCCUGUGCCUACAAGCACCUAGAGCACGUCAAUGUGUGAUAGGGUACUUUUUGUAGAACGGUCCGGCGAGCGAUUGUAUGCAGCAAGGUUAAGGACUUAAGGUCUGGAGCCGAAGCGAAAGCGAGUUUGAAAAGGGCGUUAAGUUGCAUAUAAUGGGCCCGAAACCGGGUGACCUACCCAUGGUCAGGUUGAAGUGGAAGUAAAAUUCCAUGGAGGACCGAACCGACCUCCGUUGAAAAGGCGGCGGAUGAACUGUGGGUAGCGGAGAAAUUCCAAUCGAACCCGGAGAUAGCUGGUUCUCCCCGAAAUAGUUUUAGGACUAGCCUCAAGUUAGAUACCUGGAGGUAAAGCACUGAAUAGCCUAGCGGCCGAGAGGUUAGCGAAGCUUAUCAAACUCAGAAUGCCAGAGUAUUGAUGCUUGGGAGUCAGACAGUGUCAGAUAAAUGUCAUUGUCAAAAGGGAAACAGCCCAGAUCUACAGCUAAGGUCCCAAAGUCAGGUUAAGUGGAAAACGAUGUGAAGAUACGCAGACAACCAGGAUGUUGGCUCAGAAGCAGCCACUCAUUCAAAGAGUGCGUAAUAGCUCACUGGUCGAGCGUCUUUGCGCGGAGAAUUUAACGGGGCUAAACCUGACACCGAAGCUUAGGCAAUACAGCAAUGUAUUGGGUAGGGGAGCGUUGUAUACGCGGAGAAACAGUAGCGUAAGCGGCUGUGGAGUGUAUAGAAGUGAGAAUGCCGGAAUGAGUAGCGCGAAUGCAGUGAGAAUCUGCAUGGCCGAAAGCCUCAGGUUUCUGGAGGAAGGUUCGUCCGCUCCAGGUUAGUCGGGAGCUAAGGUGAGGCCUAACGGCGUAGCCGAUGCACAGACGGUAGAGAUUCCGUCACCACCAAAAGAGUUAAACACAGGGACACAUAUGAAGUCUCGGAGCCGGGUGUUGGUUCCGGUAGCGAUCGAGGGAAGUUAGUACCGAAGUCUGAGAUGGAAGAUGGCGAGAAAAGCUGUGUGUAUUUCUGCGGUGCCCGUACCGCAAACCGACACAGGUAGGUAGGAAGAAGAUUCUAAGGCCAACGGGAGAAGGGUUGUUAAGGAACUCGGCAAAUUGACCCCGUAACUUCGGGAGAAGGGGUGCUCCAGAGAUGGAGCCGCAGAGAAUCGGCCCAAGCAACUGUUUACCAAAAACACAGGUUUGUGCUAAAUCGAAAGAUGACGUAUACGAGCUGACGCCUGCCCGGUGCUGGAAGGUUAAGAGGAGAUGUGCAAGCAUUGAAUCGAAGCCCCAGUGAACGGCGGCCGUAACUAUAACGGUCCUAAGGUAGCGAAAUUCCUUGUCAGGUAAGUUCUGACCCGCAUGAAAGGCGUAAUGAUUUGGGCACUGUCUCAACAGCCCGCCCGGCGAAAUUGUAGUACCGGUGAAGAUGCCGGUUACCCGCGACAAGACGGAAAGACCCCAUGGAGCUUUACUGUAGCCUAAUAUUGGGUUUCGAUGUUGCAUGCACAGGAUAGAUGGGAC
This 2057-nucleotide ribosomal RNA is filed under the name human gut metagenome. RNAcentral describes it as "bacterial LSU rRNA". It matches the Rfam family "Bacterial large subunit ribosomal RNA", at positions 3 to 2153 of the family's 2925-position model. The record is from RNAcentral.